AAGUCGUAACAAGGUUUCCGUAGGUGAACCUGCGGAAGGAUCAUUAAUUACUUUACUGUCAACCCCCCACUAAAAGGGGAGUUGUCGCUGCUCUGGGUCCGCCCGGCGGCCUCUUCGACAGAAGGAGUCGUCCGGCCCCCUUAGCACGUUGGUUACACCUUGUGCACAGUAAAAUUCUUUUACAGAGAGAAAAAGAAAAUUAGAGUGAAAGAAAAAAAUAUUUUUAUUUUGGGCCGAGUUUGUGCUUUUUUUGUCUCUCUCUAGAGAGGGGUAAAAAAAGUGUCGGCCCGAAUGAAUAGCUUUUUCCUCCUCUUUUCUUCUCGCCCCUCUCUAAAAAGUUAUAAACUUGAUUAAAAUAAAAUUUUUUGGCUGAAAAUAAAUUGAUUCAAUUUAUGAUAACUUUUAACAACGGAUCUCUUGGCUCUC
RNAcentral lists this unclassified non-coding RNA (426 nucleotides) under fungal sp. Its description in RNAcentral is "partial internal transcribed spacer region". The stretch from base 1 to 46 matches the Rfam family "Eukaryotic small subunit ribosomal RNA", at positions 1786 to 1831 of the family's 1831-position model. The record is from RNAcentral. Lineage: Eukaryota; Fungi.